RNAcentral lists this ribosomal RNA (250 nucleotides) under uncultured bacterium. RNAcentral describes it as "partial 16S ribosomal RNA". It matches the Rfam family "Bacterial small subunit ribosomal RNA", at positions 524 to 773 of the family's 1533-position model. The record is from RNAcentral.
UACGAAGGGGGCUAGCGUUGCUCGGAAUUACUGGGCGUAAAGCGCGCGCAGGUUGUCUGUUAAGUCGGGGGUGAAAGCCCGGAGCUCAACUCCGGAAAUGCCCUCGAAACUGGCAGACUUGAGUCCGGAAGAGGAGAGUAGAAUUCCCAGUGUAGAGGUGAAAUUCGUAGAUAUUGGGAAGAAUACCAGUGGCGAAGGCGGCUCUCUGGUCCGGUACUGACACUGAGGCGCGAAAGCGUGGGGAGCAAAC